AGUGAACGCUGGCGGUAGGCCUAACACAUGCAAGUCGAACGGCAGCACAGUAAGAGCUUGCUCUUACGGGUGGCGAGUGGCGGACGGGUGAGGAAUACAUCGGAAUCUACUUUUUCGUGGGGGAUAACGUAGGGAAACUUACGCUAAUACCGCAUACGACCUACGGGUGAAAGCAGGGGAGCUUCGGACCUUGCGCGAUUGAAUGAGCCGAUGUCGGAUUAGCUAGUUGGCGGGGUAAAGGCCCACCAAGGCGACGAUCCGUAGCUGGUCUGAGAGGAUGAUCAGCCACACUGGAACUGAGACACGGUCCAGACUCCUACGGGAGGCAGCAGUGGGGAAUAUUGGACAAUGGGCGCAAGCCUGAUCCAGCCAUACCGCGUGGGUGAAGAAGGCCUUCGGGUUGUAAAGCCCUUUUGUUGGGAAAGAAAGGCAGCAGGUUAAUACCCCGCUGUUCUGACGGUACCCAAAGAAUAAGCACCGGCUAACUUCGUG
RNAcentral lists this ribosomal RNA (492 nucleotides) under uncultured bacterium. Its description in RNAcentral is "partial 16S ribosomal RNA". It matches the Rfam family "Bacterial small subunit ribosomal RNA", at positions 29 to 507 of the family's 1533-position model. The record is from RNAcentral.